GGAAAAUGAUUGAGCACGAAUACGAGAAGGUAAAAUAACCAGGCGAAGUUGCAUUCAUUAAGCUCGAGUGGGUCAUCGUCCCGGGUCGGGGAAAAGUGGGACGGAUUCGGGUUGUUUAAUGGGUCAAAGGAAGCGGGGAGUUGAGGAAGAAGGGAGGUUGCUGAUGGUCAUCGUCGGAGGAGCUGGUUCCAACCGACGGCGUUC
RNAcentral lists this long non-coding RNA (204 nucleotides) under Erythranthe guttata (spotted monkey flower). RNAcentral's name for it is "long non-coding RNA (EGUT_LNC000559)". Lineage: Eukaryota; Viridiplantae; Streptophyta; Magnoliopsida; Lamiales; Phrymaceae. The record is from RNAcentral.